GAUGAACGCUGGCGGCGUGCCUAAUACAUGCAAGUCGAGCGAACAGAUGCGGAGCUUGCCCCUCUCACGUUAGCGGCGGACGGGUGAGUAACACGUGUAUCCCCUCCCUAUCAGUCUGGGAUCACUACGGGACUCCGGCGCUAAUACCGGAUAAUAUCUUGAACCGCAUGGUUCAAUAGUGAAAGACGGUUUUGCUGUCACUUAUAGAUGGAUCCGCGCGGCAUUAGCUAGUUGUUAAGUUAAAGGCUUAUCAAGGCAACGAUGCGUAGCCGACCUGAGAGGGUGAUCGCCCACACUGGAGCUGAGACACGGUCCAGGCUCCUGCGGGAGGCAGCAGAAGGGAAUCUGCCGCAAUGGGCGGAAGCCUGACGGAACAACGCCGCGUGAGUGAUGAAGGUGUUCGGAUCGUAAAACUCUGUUAUUAGGGAAGAACAAAUGUGUAAGGAACUAUGCACGUCUUGACGGUACCGGAUCAGAAAGCCACGGCUAACUACGUG
RNAcentral lists this ribosomal RNA (497 nucleotides) under uncultured bacterium. RNAcentral's name for it is "partial 16S ribosomal RNA". It matches the Rfam family "Bacterial small subunit ribosomal RNA", at positions 28 to 507 of the family's 1533-position model. The record is from RNAcentral.